GACGAACGCUGGCGGCGUGCCUAAUACAUGCAAGUCGAGCGGUGAAGGUUGGUACUUGUACGGACUGGGUGAGGAGCGAACGGGUGAGUCACGCGAGUGGACUCUGCCUUUGAGCGGGGGACAACAUUUGGAAACGAAUGAUAAUACCGCAUAAGAACUUUAAACAUGAGGUUUAUGGGUGAAAGAUGCAAUUGCAUCACUCAAAGAUGAUUCCUCGUUGUUUUAGGUAGUUGGUGAGGUAAAGGCUCAUCAAGGCGAUGAUACAUAGCCGGGCUGAGAGGGAGGACGGCCAACAUGGGACUGAGACCCGGCCCAAACUCCCUCGGGAGGCAACAAGAGGGGAACUUCGGCAAUUGGCGGAAGGCAUACCGCACCACGCCGCGGGGGUGGAGAAGGUUCUCGGGUCGGAAAAGUCUGUUUGUAGGGAAGAACGGGGGUUAGGGUGGAAAGCUGAUCAAGUGACGGUAACGACCCAAAAAGCAACGGCUAACUACGUG
This 497-nucleotide ribosomal RNA is filed under the name uncultured bacterium. RNAcentral's name for it is "partial 16S ribosomal RNA". It matches the Rfam family "Bacterial small subunit ribosomal RNA", at positions 28 to 507 of the family's 1533-position model. The record is from RNAcentral.